UCCGAUUGUAGAGCCGGUUGCAGAGUUGC
Molecule: small RNA, 29 nt
Filed under: Bombyx mori (domestic silkworm)
Lineage: Eukaryota; Metazoa; Arthropoda; Insecta; Lepidoptera; Bombycidae
Description: piRNA piR-bmo-1355072
Source: RNAcentral